This 342-nucleotide long non-coding RNA is filed under the name Nicotiana benthamiana. RNAcentral describes it as "long non-coding RNA (NBEN_LNC010021)". The record is from RNAcentral. Lineage: Eukaryota; Viridiplantae; Streptophyta; Magnoliopsida; Solanales; Solanaceae.
UGGCAAUAUCAGGUCAUCCAAUGUACUUCUCACCCAUGACAACAGUGGAUGCAUCUCAGAUGUUGGGCUUACUCCUCUAAUGGGCUCUCCUACAAUCCCAUCUAGGAGUGCAGGAUAUAGAGCACCUGAGGUGAUUGAGACAAGGCUUACUCCUCUAAUGGGCUCUCCUACAAUUCCAUCUAGGAGUGCAGGAUAUAGAGCACCUGAGGUGAUUGAGACAAGGAAAUGUACUCAGAAAUCCGAUGUUUACAGCUUUGGCGUUCUGCUUCUUGAACUCCUUACUGGCAAAGCACCAGUGCAGCCACCUGGUCAUGAUGAGGUGGUAGAUUUACCGAGAUGGGU